AUCUCCUACGGGACGCAGCAGUGGGGGAUAUUGCACAAUGGGGGAAACCCUGAUGCAGCGACGCCGCGUGAGUGAAGAAGUAUUUCGGUAUGUAAAGCUCUAUCAGCAGGGAAGAAAAAAGACGGUACCUGACUAAGAAGCCCCGGCUAACUACGUGCCAGCAGCCGCGGUAAUACGUAGGGGGCAAGCGUUAUCCGGAUUUACUGGGUGUAAAGGGAGCGUAGACGGCAAUACAAGUCGGAAGUGAAAUACUCGGGCGCAAC
RNAcentral lists this ribosomal RNA (263 nucleotides) under uncultured bacterium. Its description in RNAcentral is "partial 16S ribosomal RNA". It matches the Rfam family "Bacterial small subunit ribosomal RNA", at positions 334 to 613 of the family's 1533-position model. The record is from RNAcentral.